CCCUGAGAUCAGCGGCGGACGGGUGAGUAACACGUGGGUAACCUGCCUGUAAGACUGGGAUAACUCCGGGAAACCGGGGCUAAUACCGGAUAACACCUACCCCCGCAUGGGGGAAGGUUGAAAGGUGGCUUCGGCUAUCACUUACAGAUGGACCCGCGGCGCAUUAGCUAGUUGGUGAGGUAAUGGCUCACCAAGGCGACGAUGCGUAGCCGACCUGAGAGGGUGAUCGGCCACACUGGGACUGAGACACGGCCCAGACUCCUACGGGAGGCAGCAGUAGGGAAUCUUCCGCAAUGGACGAAAGUCUGACGGAGCAACGCCGCGUGAGUGAAGAAGGUUUUCGGAUCGUAAAACUCUGUUGUUAGGGAAGAACAAGUGCCGUUCGAAUAGGGCGGCGCCUUGACGGUACCUAACCAGAAAGCCACGGCUAACUACGUGCCAGCAGCCGCGGUAAUACGUAGGUGGCAAGCGUUGUCCGGAAUUAUUGGGCGUAAAGCGCGCGCAGGUGGUUUCUUAAGUCUGAUGUGAAAGCCCACGGCUCAACCGUGGAGGGUCAUUGGAAACUGGGGAACUUGAGUGCAGAAGAGGAAAGUGGAAUUC
This 600-nucleotide ribosomal RNA is filed under the name Rossellomorea marisflavi. Its description in RNAcentral is "bacterial SSU rRNA". It matches the Rfam family "Bacterial small subunit ribosomal RNA", at positions 84 to 669 of the family's 1533-position model. Lineage: Bacteria; Bacillati; Bacillota; Bacilli; Caryophanales; Bacillaceae. The record is from RNAcentral.